Molecule: non-coding RNA, 954 nt
Organism: Pogona vitticeps (central bearded dragon)
Lineage: Eukaryota; Metazoa; Chordata; Lepidosauria; Squamata; Agamidae
Source: RefSeq, a predicted model, not a curated record
CUGAUUGCUACCACCUGGAAUGGCAUCUGCAUUUCUCGCCCGGCACUACUAUAUUUAGCAAAUGACUGGGCUUUCCUCUCCCCCUCCGCCAUUUCAAGGGAAGCCAAGCUGCUGGAGGAAGCUUUCCUAAUGGAGGUAAUGAUGCUCAUUUCUAUCAGCUGGGCUAGGAAGCCAUUUCAACUACAGUCAAUUAGUCUUUUCCUUCCAACACCAGGGAAAGAAACCACACCUUCUCUGUAAAGCUGCUUCACCAAGACCCUCAGCGUUCCUUCCUGUGUUUGGAAGGAGUAUUUGUUAGAGAUUUGAGCAGAACGUUUCUGGGCUAUCUCAAAUUGAAACAGUCUGCUGGAACCCAUCCGUACAGCAAUUUGAAAUGAGCUGCUCUGGAUGCUGCGGAGAACAGCCAGUGGAUCUGAAGUUCCAAUUAAAACUGUGUUUGGACCAUUGCUUUAUUGCCUGCCCAUACUUAAUCUCUCUUGAAAGCACCAUCAUUUAUCUGAAGCAAAAGAAGAACAAGGGUUAUUUCUGUAAGGAGCCUUGACUUGUUUUCAUGACUCGGGGCCCACUUUGUCAGAGAUGGAGCAGAUGGACUGCAAACCCUACCAGCCACUGUCGAAAAACAAGCAUGAAAUGGAUCUAGCGUACACCAGCUCUUCGGAUGAGAGCGAAGAUGGAAGGAAAGCAAGACAGUCGUACGAGUCCAGAGAGACGCUCAAUGAAUACAGCCAAGAACUUAGGCUGAAUUAUAACAGCCACAGCAGAAAACGGAAAGCUGUUAAUGAACCCACACAAGGUCUUUACGAAAGGUAUCCAUGCUUCCUUUCCACCCAGCAGUCCAGCAAGGCUGUGUGGCUGGUGCCCUGUGGAACCCCCUGUCAGAUGGGGAGGUGCCGUUGCAUCACGAUGCCUGAGCAGCAUGCCGUGGGCUGUGUCAGGUGUGAGGCCUGGACAAUG